Molecule: ribosomal RNA, 426 nt
Filed under: uncultured Actinomycetes bacterium
Lineage: Bacteria; Bacillati; Actinomycetota; Actinomycetes
Description: bacterial SSU rRNA
Rfam family: Bacterial small subunit ribosomal RNA
Source: RNAcentral
AACGCGAAGAACCUUACCUGGGUUGAACUACGCAGGAAAAGCCGUAGAGAUACGGUGUCCGAAAGGGCCUGCGAUAGGUGGUGCAUGGCUGUCGUCAGCUCGUGUCGUGAGAUGUUGGGUUAAGUCCCGCAACGAGCGCAACCCUUGUCCUGUGUUGCCAGCGGGUAAUGCCGGGGACUCGCAGGAGACUGCCGGGGUCAACUCGGAGGAAGGUGGGGAUGAAGUCAAGUCAUCAUGCCCCUUACGUCCAGGGCUGCACACAUGCUACAAUGGCCGGUACAAAGGGCUGCUAUUCCGCGAGGAUGAGCGAAUCCCAAAAAGCCGGUCUCAGUUCGGAUCGCAGUCUGCAACUCGACUGCGUGAAGUCGGAGUCGCUAGUAAUCCCGGAUCAGCAACGCCGGGGUGAAUACGUUCCCGGGCCUUGUA